GGAGGGUGCAAACGUUGCUCGGAAUUAUUGGGCGUAAAGCGCAUGUAGGCGGUUCGUCAAGUCGGAUGUGAAAGACCCCCGGGGCUCAACCUGGGAAGUGCAUUCGAAACUGGCGGACUUGAGUACGGGAGAGGGUCGCGGAAUUCCCGGUGUAGAGGUGAAAUUCGUAGAUAUCGGGAGGAACACCAGAGGCGAAGGCGGCGACCUGGACCGAUACUGACGCUGAGAUGCGAAAGCGUGGGGAGCAAACAGGAUUAGAUACCCUGGUAGUCCACGCCGUAAACGAUGAGUGCUAGAUGUCGCGGGUAUUGACCCCUGCGGUGUCACAGCUAACGCGCUAAGCACUCCGCCUGGGGAGUACGGCCGCAAGGCUA
This 374-nucleotide ribosomal RNA is filed under the name uncultured organism. RNAcentral describes it as "partial 16S ribosomal RNA". It matches the Rfam family "Bacterial small subunit ribosomal RNA", at positions 527 to 896 of the family's 1533-position model. The record is from RNAcentral.